UCACUAUGGUACCAUUUUAUCAGCAGACAUCUGGCAAUCCUUGGUGGUAAAGCAGGAAAGAAGGGUCUUACUGGUGUAGUGUAAGAAACCAUAUUUUCUUCUGUCUGCAUUAGUGUUAUCUCAGAAAACACACAGUCUGCUUUUGUUUCCCAACAAGGUUUGCAAAAUAGUCAGUCCAUGGCUUUCAGUCUAGGUCCCAUGGCAAGAUCAUGCUUAAUAUAAGAAGUAGAAGCCAUUAUAUCAGCAGAGAGACGCUUGAAGAGAAGUAUGUGUUUAGGAAGACAGAUAAAAUGACAUCUAUUUUUAAAAGAAAAUUAUAAAGGAAGUAUUUUAUUGAUCUUGCAGUAUGUUAUAAAGUAACGUAUGAAUGUAAGAUUUUAUUGGGUACUAUAUUAAACUGACAACAUAUUCAAAAAAAAUUACUGUGCUUGUCAGUAAUGAAGAUAAAUAGGAUAAAAGGAAAGAACAUUUGUAUUUUGUAAAGUAUCAUUUUAUAAAAAUAGUUUUGCUCAUGCAACUUACCUCUAGUAUUUAAAAAGGCACCUCAGUCUUUUAAUACAGCAUUUUGUCUCAUAUCUUGAUUAUGGAACCAUUCCAUAAUGGGGUCAUGUUAUACUACAGAAAGACUAUGCCUGUGCCUAAGCCCAGAAUUGCAGCCCAAAACCAUGCAGCUCAGCUACUGCCUAAUUCUGGAUGCGUCUGAAAUCAGUAGACACCUCCUCAGUUAACUUGACAUUUUGCCAUACAUCUGUGAUUUUUUUUCUGUACUUGCCCAGAACUGUCCCAGUCUGAAGAGCCCAGAACCUCUGUCAGCAUUGUAAGAUCAUUUGGGAUGCUUGUAUGCCUUUCCCUAAAUCAUUUAAGAAACUAGAAGACAUUCUUCUGUAUGCCUAGCAUAAGCUGACACAUUUGGUCCCCCUCACAAAAGUGUCAGUGGCCACUUCCUCGUAAGACAGUGGUGAUGGGCUUUUUUUAUACAAUAACCUAGCGAUUAGAGCACUACCCUAGGAAAUGGAAGGCUUAGCUUUCCUCCUCAAUCUAAGGAGAUUCAUUUCAUAUCUUCCAUCUACCAGGAGACAGACCCAGUCAUCAGGCUAUUCAAAGGAGGGGGAACUGUCUUUUACUGCUUUUGAAACUGUGCUACUUUGCAGAAAGAAUUCAAAAUCAUGGGGCCAGAGAAAGAACACAGAAAUAUAACUUUUCAGCCCAGCAGCUGCCAAACUCACAUGCAAGGGGAGUCCCAGGUGCCCCUAUAAUGUCAACCUAUAAAGUAUCUUUUAAUUUUUUCACUCUCAAAUAAUUUUCUCAUCAAUAGAAAAAUGCAAUGAUGAAGGUUUACAGUAGUAUACCUAGGUCUAAGUACAGACAUUCAGAGGGAUUAGGGGGAGGUUAGAUCAGGUUCAAAAUGGCCACCCAGCAUAACUUACUUCACCCUGGGUGUGGGCCUUUUGCUCAUAUCUAGUCUUAGUGAUAGGAAACCAAUCCAAACUAGGGAUGUUAAAGGUUAAAUGAUUAAUUGUUAAACCAAUAAGUGCAAUGAUAACUAGUUAGCUUACCAGUAAUCAUUUAGCUUGGUAUGAGCACAGUCUGGCAUGGAAGGUGGGAAAGGAAGCCACUUGGUGCCCCAGCAGGAAUCAGAAGGCAGGAGGGAAGGGAUGAGGUGAGAAGGGACAAGGAGAAAUCGUACCCAUAGCCUAAAAGG
This is a long non-coding RNA of Gavialis gangeticus (Gharial), 1702 nucleotides long. RefSeq lists it as uncharacterized. The record is from RefSeq and is a predicted model, not a curated record. Lineage: Eukaryota; Metazoa; Chordata; Crocodylia; Gavialidae. The transcript is spliced from 2 exons.